GAAAUGCGAUAAGUAGUGUGAAUUGCAGAAUUCAGUGAAUCAUCGAAUCUUUGAACGCACAUUGCGCCCCUUGGUAUUCCAUGGGGCAUGCCUGUUCGAGCGUCAUUUGUACCCUCAAGCUCUGCUUGGUGUUGGGUGUUUGUCCCGUCUCCGCGCGUGGACUCGCCCCAAAGUGAUUGGCAGCCGGCGUACUGGUCCCGGAGCGCGGCGCGGCCCACACCGUAAAACCCCCGACGUACCUGAAGUUUGACCUCGGAUCAGGUAGGAAUACCCGCUGAACUUAAGC
This 286-nucleotide unclassified non-coding RNA is filed under the name plant metagenome. RNAcentral's name for it is "partial contains 5.8S ribosomal RNA, internal transcribed spacer 2, and large subunit ribosomal RNA". The stretch from base 1 to 105 matches the Rfam family "5.8S ribosomal RNA", at positions 50 to 154 of the family's 154-position model. The record is from RNAcentral.